Molecule: ribosomal RNA, 252 nt
Filed under: uncultured bacterium
Lineage: Bacteria
Description: partial 16S ribosomal RNA
Rfam family: Bacterial small subunit ribosomal RNA
Source: RNAcentral
UACGGAGGAUGCGAGCGUUAUCCGGAUUUAUUGGGUUUAAAGGGUGCGUAGGCGGGAUGCCAAGUCAGCGGUAAAAAUGCGGUGCUCAACGCCGUCGAGCCGUUGAAACUGGCGUUCUUGAGUGGGCGAGAAGUAUGCGGAAUGCGUGGUGUAGCGGUGAAAUGCAUAGAUAUCACGCAGAACUCCAAUUGCGAAGGCAGCAUACCGGCGCCCUACUGACGCUGAGGCACGAAAGCGUGGGUAUCGAACAGG